AACGAACGCUGGCGGCACGCCUAACACAUGCAAGUCGAGCGCACCUUCGGGUGAGCGGCGGACGGGUUAGUAACGCGUGGGAACGUACCCUUUUCUGCGGAAUAGCCUUUGGAAACGAAGAGUAAUACCGCAUACGCCCUUCGGGGGAAAGAUUUAUCGGUGAAGGAUCGGCCCGCGUUAGAUUAGUUAGUUGGUGGGGUAAUGGCCUACCAAGACUACGAUCUAUAGCUGGUUUGAGAGGAUGAUCAGCAACACUGGGACUGAGACACGGCCCAGACUCCUACGGGAGGCAGCAGUGGGGAAUCUUAGACAAUGGGCGCAAGCCUGAUCUAGCGAUGCCGCGUGAGUGACGAAGGCCUUAGGGUCGUAAAGCUCUUUCGCCAGGGAUGAUAAUGACAGUACCUGGUAAAGAAACCCCGGCUAACUCCGUGCCAGCCGCCGCGGUAAU
This 448-nucleotide ribosomal RNA is filed under the name uncultured bacterium. Its description in RNAcentral is "bacterial SSU rRNA". It matches the Rfam family "Bacterial small subunit ribosomal RNA", at positions 29 to 524 of the family's 1533-position model. The record is from RNAcentral.